UACGUAGGGUGCAAGCGUUGCCCGGAUUUAUUGGGCGUAAAGGGCGCGUAGGCGGCUCGGCACGUCCGUUGUGAAAUCGCCCGGCUCAACUGGGCGGGGUCAGCGGAUACGGUCGAGCUUGAGCAAGCUAGGGGGCAAUGGAAUUCCCGGUGUAGUGGUGGAAUGCGUAGAGUAUCGGGAGGAACACCAGUGGCGAAGGCGGUUGCCUGGGGCUUUGCUGACGCUGAUGCGCGAAAGCGUGGGGAGCGAUCCGG
RNAcentral lists this ribosomal RNA (254 nucleotides) under uncultured bacterium. RNAcentral's name for it is "partial 16S ribosomal RNA". It matches the Rfam family "Bacterial small subunit ribosomal RNA", at positions 524 to 776 of the family's 1533-position model. The record is from RNAcentral.